GAUGAAGAACGUAGCGAAAUGCGAUACGUAAUGUGAAUUUCAGAAUUCAGUGAAUCAUCGAAUCUUUGAACGCAUAUUGCGCUCUUUGGUAUUCCGAAGAGCAUGCUUGUUUGAGUAUCAGUAAACACCUCAACCUCUUCUUGAUUUUUCAAAAGGAGGGUGGACUUGAGCUAUCCCAACAACCUUUACCGGUCGGCGGGCGGCUUGAAAUGCAGGUGCAGCUGGACUUUUAUCUGAGCUAAAAGCAUAUCUAUUUAGUCCUCGUCAAACAGGAUUAUUACUUUUGCUGCAGCUAACAUAAAGGAUAAUUGUCCUCUUUGCUGACUGAUGCAGGAUUUUACGACACUUUAUGUGUUGUUCAACUCGAUCUCAAAUCAAGUAAGACUACCCGCUGAACUUAAGCAUAUCAAUAAGCGGAGGA
This 421-nucleotide unclassified non-coding RNA is filed under the name soil metagenome. Its description in RNAcentral is "partial contains 5.8S ribosomal RNA, internal transcribed spacer 2, and large subunit ribosomal RNA". The stretch from base 1 to 120 matches the Rfam family "5.8S ribosomal RNA", at positions 35 to 154 of the family's 154-position model. The record is from RNAcentral.